GCCCUAAUAGCUUAAACCUUAAAGCACUGGUCUUGUAAACCAGAGACUGAAGUUUAAAAUCUUCUUACGGCU
Molecule: transfer RNA, 72 nt
Filed under: Allobates goianus (Goias rocket frog)
Lineage: Eukaryota; Metazoa; Chordata; Amphibia; Anura; Aromobatidae
Description: tRNA-Thr
Rfam family: tRNA
About the family: Transfer RNA (tRNA) molecules are approximately 80 nucleotides in length. Their secondary structure includes four short double-helical elements and three loops (D, anti-codon, and T loops).
Source: RNAcentral